UCCGUGUUAACCACGGCAGUCUCUCUAGAGAGCCCAACUGAAUGCUGGCAACUAAAGAUAAGGGUUGCGCUCGUUGCGGGACUUAGCCCAACAUGUCACCACACGAGCUGACGACAGCCAUGCAGCACCUGUCUCCCUGUCGUAUUGCUACGAAGACCGUAUCUCUACGGCUGUCAGGGGAUGUCAAACCCAGGUAAGGUUCUGCGCGUUGCGUCGAAUUGAACCACAUGCUCCACCGCUUGUGCGGGCCCCCGUCAAUUCCUUUGAGUUUUAGCCUUGCGGCCGUACUCCCCAGGCGGGGUGCUUAAUGCGUUAGCUUCGGCACGGAGGGAGUUGACACCCCCCACACCUAGCACCCAUCGUUUACGGCGUGGACUAC
RNAcentral lists this unclassified non-coding RNA (379 nucleotides) under uncultured Pseudomonadota bacterium. RNAcentral's name for it is "uncultured proteobacterium contains 16S-23S intergenic spacer region". The record is from RNAcentral. Lineage: Bacteria; Pseudomonadati; Pseudomonadota.